Molecule: long non-coding RNA, 1167 nt
Filed under: Anser cygnoides (Swan goose)
Lineage: Eukaryota; Metazoa; Chordata; Aves; Anseriformes; Anatidae
Description: lncRNA (ENSACDG00005016996.1)
Source: RNAcentral
AAAACGAAGGGGGAAAAAAAAAUAUCAGUCACUUCGCCUCGGAUGGGAUAUCCAAGUAAGCACAGCCCCUUUCCUGCAUCUGACAUUUUACAUACAUAAUUAACUCCACAUUUUUCCCUGAGGGAAGUUGGAAAAGAAAAAAAAAAAAAAAAGUCAGGAACUAAAGUUUUUCGCAAACCAGAAGGAGAGAGCCUCUAGCGUUCACAAAGCAGAGGAGUGCAACGGCAGAGGGAGGGGGGGAAGAAAAACAACCAGCCUUUCCAAGGAGGACUCCUGAAAGGUGGUUGUGGUGUGAAGGGGGAGAAAACUGGUGACAAACAACUGAAAACUCUUUUUUUUCUCCUCCUGUUUUUUCCCCCCUGCCUCUCAGCUCUGCUCCCUGUGCUGGGACAGGCCCUUUUCGAGUGUGUGCAGUGCCCACAGACCCUAACACCCAGCACACCCCAACAGGGCCACCACGCAGGGCCGGAUCCUGCCCUGCCUGUGCGGGGCUGUAGGAUGGGUCAGGGGAAGGCUGGGUGCCACCACCAAAGCCUAGCAUCCUCGUCCUCCUGUGGCAGCAGCACCAGCUUUAUGAAAUAAAAUAACGAGAGCGUUAGGAGUUAGGCAGGGAAUUGUUACCUUGGCUAAUUGUCCCUUUGGUCUAAUUAGGUAUUGCCAGGGAUGCAAAUGAAGCGCUCGCCAGGAAGCCCGGAUGGCAAUUUUAACAGCUCCGAGCAGCUGACCUCGGGCUCCCGUCCGCGCUGGAGAACCACCGCCAGCGGAGCUGCAGACUGCAGCCGAGGCGAGAGCCCGCGCCUCGGCGGGGGCAGGUUUUCCAGGAAUCUGUUUAGACACAUACCUGGGCACAUUUGGGCCAGCCUGGGAGGAAGAAAGCGAAGUAGCUGUUUUAAUAUUUUACUUGUAUAUGUGCGGUGUAAAAAGAAAAGGGAAAACAGACCUUGGGUUUUUCGCCAAUUCUUUCAUCGCGCCUCAACGGCAUGGACUCGGGUGCCGUCUCCCACCUUGCUUUUGAGGAGACAGCUCUCUUUUGCCUCACAUCUCAUGGUGAGGAGGGCAAAACCAUCAGUUUUUGACCCAAAACCAUUCCCGGUGGUGACGGUCACCCAGCUGGGGCCACCCUGCGACUCGAGGACACGUCUCAAGGUCUCUCUCUCCUUCCCCUGA